AAUAGAAGCUCCAUGAUCUUGCCCCUGAGGGAAGGACACGCCCAGGGGAUGGUGGCUCAAGAGCCUGAUAUAGGACAAGGGUGACUGCCAUUGGAGCAGGAAGUCUGCUGGGGAACAAGUUGCACCAGUGGAAGGCAACUGUUACCUCUCCUCCACCCUAACUUUGCAGCUACAUGAGAGGUGAAUACAACAAUUUAUCUAGUCUACCCCACAACUCCAGUUGAUGUCAGUGGGACUGCAGGUGAUCAGCACAAGUGAAAAACAGCAUCCAGGUGCAUCAGUUGACCCUCACUUUCCAUGAAAUGAAAAUGGCCAGUCAUCGUCUAUUCUGUUUAAAUUUAUUUUUAUAGGAGAUGUCUCAGGGACUUGCGGCUGACCCUUUCCCUUUUCUCCUGCCAAUGUCCUGCUCUGACUGGGAGAGAGGGCAGGGGAAAUGGGGGUCUGUAAGCCUUGACUAUUUUAGUCCAUUUUGUCUUGUGGGUUUUGAUUUUCUCCCUCCCGCCAUAACUGUGUUCUUCUUUGGGCAAAGCAAAGGAACACUUGCCAAAAUAUUAUAAUAAUUUCUCUGAGUGCUCUACUUUUCUUUCUUCAGGCUUUAUCAUUAUCUUUUUCCUUUUGAUUAUUUUGAUGGCAAGGAUACACUGAUAUUAGAGGAAUGCUGGAAUUAGAGGUGUCAGUACACACUUGGAUGUGCAAGCAGACAUACAUGGAAAGAAAAUGAGCUCCCCUACUUGAGUUGUAUUUCCUGAAGGACUUUAGUGUAACUCCUCUAUUCCUGCAUCUCUGCUUGAAAUUUAGAUUUAUACAGUAAGCUUUCUUACUUUUGAAAUACACUUGUACCACAUGGGCCUAAUUCGGAUCUCCUAUUGUGAAGAUCAGUUUUCUUCCUUUAUCAGCCUAAUUUCCUUGAUUAUGCGUGUCAGUAAAACUGCCUCUUAAAGAUGAAAAAGUGCCAAUUCUCUUUUUGAAAUGAUGACUUUCAAUGAUGAGAUGAAAAUGGAAAGUCUUUCUGACU
Molecule: long non-coding RNA, 1015 nt
Organism: Dermochelys coriacea (leatherback sea turtle)
Lineage: Eukaryota; Metazoa; Chordata; Testudines; Dermochelyidae
Exons: 4
Source: RefSeq, a predicted model, not a curated record